UGCUGCUUCGCUGACGAGUGGCGGACGGGUGAGUAAUGUCUGGGAAACUGCCUGAUGGAGGGGGAUAACUACUGGAAACGGUAGCUAAUACCGCAUAACGUCGCAAGACCAAAGAGGGGGACCUUCGGGCCUCUUGCCAUCGGAUGUGCCCAGAUGGGAUUAGCUAGUAGGUGGGGUAACGGCUCACCUAGGCGACGAUCCCUAGCUGGUCUGAGAGGAUGACCAGCCACACUGGAACUGAGACACGGUCCAGACUCCUACGGGAGGCAGCAGUGGGGAAUAUUGCACAAUGGGCGCAAGCCUGAUGCAGCCAUGCCGCGUGUAUGAAGAAGGCCUUCGGGUUGUAAAGUACUUUCAGCGGGGAGGAAGGUGAUGAGGUUAAUAACCUUGGCGAUUGACGUUACCCGCAGAAGAAGCACCGGCUAACUCCGUGCCAGCAGCCGCGGUAAUACGGAGGGUGCAAGCGUUAAUCGGAAUUACUGGGCGUAAAGCGCACGCAGGCGGUCUGUCAAGUCGGAUGUGAAAUCCCCGGGCUCAACC
This 540-nucleotide ribosomal RNA is filed under the name Enterobacter cloacae. RNAcentral describes it as "bacterial SSU rRNA". It matches the Rfam family "Bacterial small subunit ribosomal RNA", at positions 78 to 614 of the family's 1533-position model. Lineage: Bacteria; Pseudomonadati; Pseudomonadota; Gammaproteobacteria; Enterobacterales; Enterobacteriaceae. The record is from RNAcentral.